This is a non-coding RNA of Pelodiscus sinensis (Chinese soft-shelled turtle), 1102 nucleotides long. NCBI's taxonomy places the organism in Eukaryota, Metazoa, Chordata, Testudines, Trionychidae. The record is from RefSeq and is a predicted model, not a curated record.
UCUCUCUCCUCUCUAACCAGCAGGAUUAGGAAGUGGCUUCGCUUGGGCUUGUCUGGGCUUGUUCAGGCCUCAGCCUGCCUCUGUCGGUGAUCAGAAGGAUCGGGGGUGGCUCUAAAGGAAACUUGCCUCAUAGCUUUGCAGCCACUGCGCUGGCCUCAGAGCUUCCGACAAGCCAGCCAAAGAAAUCUGCUUGCCUUUCUGCUGGGUCCUUUAUCCAGGUUCCCUGACAGGAGGGUGACGAGGGGCGGGGCCGCUACUGCACAAACAAUGCUGAUCUAGGAGAGUGACCGCACGGUGCAACCGGUGCAGGCAGACGGCGCUGGGCUCAGGUGCUGCAGUGCCUGUCUCGCAGGCAGGAGAAUGAAGAUGGAUCUGCUCAGAGUGAGUUCUUCUCCAAUCCUGAGCAUGGCUCAAAAAUGGCCGUGUGCACUUAAGGGAAACCACACAUGUGUCUCAGAAGCUGUGUGUUAGGCAUUUGGAAAUGAGUAAUAUUUCCAUUCUCCUGAAGGAGGCUCUCUGGAACUAGAGGACUAAGGUAGAUUCUCCUACCGUUUUUCAGUCAGAGAAAGAAAAAGGGAGACAGAAUAACCUGCCACAGCUCCCAUCUCGUCAGUUAAUGCCAGCUGUGAGUGUUUCUUUGGCAGUGUCUUAGCUGGUUGUUGUGAGCAAUAAUCAAGGAAGCAAUCAGCAAGUAUACUGCCCUAGAAGUGCUGCACGUUGGGCCCACACCACAUCUCGACGACACACAAGGAGGCUGCCCAUCUGGAGUGGAAUGCGGCCCCGUUGGUCCCCUCUCCUUUGUGCUGGGUUGCAGAAUGGUGUGGUGGGAGCAGAAGACGGAGGUGAGAGGUGCUGAAGGAUGCCAAGAUAACAUGGUGAUUGUAUCAGAGGUGCCAAAAGCAGCUGAACUGAGCAUUGCAAGGGGGUGCUUGCUCAUUUUCCCCUCUAUCCUCCUACCCAUCUCCACCACUGCUUCAAUUAUGCCUGUUAGUGAUGCAGCAAAAACCUCUGGCUAUUGGGAAGAGUCUCUUUGGGUUCAGGGCCUGGAGAAGGAAAAGUUGAGACUGAUUUUGGCCCUAGUGUUGCUUGUUCCUGUAGUCAU